RNAcentral lists this long non-coding RNA (313 nucleotides) under Glycine max (soybean). Its description in RNAcentral is "long non-coding RNA (GMAX_LNC001545)". The record is from RNAcentral. Lineage: Eukaryota; Viridiplantae; Streptophyta; Magnoliopsida; Fabales; Fabaceae.
CAAGAAAGAGUAGAGUUGUUCCUUCUUUAUCACAUUGGACAAUGGUGAAGGGUCUGUUAGCUAUUUUAUAGUGUCAUUUAAAGGACAGUGUUUAGUUUCUUUCUAGGGUUUGAGAAUUGAAUCUGGAUUUAGACCAUAUAGUUCAGUAAGCCAAUGUUUUCCAACUUUCUUUGGCAAUGGUAUUAGUGUUAUUGUGACUGGAGAACCUAAUGUUGGACGAUUAGUUUUGUUUGGUUUCGUUUUAUUCUGGGUCUUUGCUGCUUCUUUAAUAACUUGUUUCUUUUUCUUCUUUAUUUAUCACCCUAUCUCCUAG